UACGGAAGGCAGCAGUGGGGAAUAUUGCACAAUGGGCGAAAGCCUGAUGCAGCUAUGCCGCGUGUAUGAAGAAGGCCUUAGGGUUGUAAAGUACUUUCAUCGGGGAGGAAAAACAAAACUAAUAAUUUUAUUUCUUGACGUUACCCGAAAAAGAAGCACCGGCUAACUCCGUGCCAGCAGCCGCGGUAAUACGGAGGGUGCUAGCGUUAAUCAGAAUUACUGGGCGUAAAGAGCACGUAGGUGGUUUUUUUAAAGUCAGAUGUGAAAUCCCUGGGCUUAACCUAGGAACUGCAUUUUGAAACUGAAAUACUAGAGUAUCGUAGAGGGAGGUAGAAUUCUAGGUGUAGCGGUGAAAUGCGUAGAUAUCUGGAGGAAUACCUGUGGCGAAAGCGGCCUCCUAAACGAAUACUGACACUGAGGUGCGAAAGCUGGGGAGCAAACAGGGAUUAGAUACC
RNAcentral lists this ribosomal RNA (455 nucleotides) under uncultured bacterium. RNAcentral describes it as "bacterial SSU rRNA". It matches the Rfam family "Bacterial small subunit ribosomal RNA", at positions 340 to 786 of the family's 1533-position model. The record is from RNAcentral.